UACGGGGGGGGCAAGCGUUGUUCGGAAUUACUGGGCGUAAAGGGUUCGUAGGUGGCCAACUAAGUCAGACGUGAAAUCCCUCAGCUUAACUGGGGAACUGCGUCUGAUACUGGUUGGCUUGAGUGCAGGAGAGGAACGCGGAAUUCCAGGUGUAGCGGUGAAAUGCGUAGAUAUCUGGAGGAACACCGGUGGCGAAGGCGGCAUCCUGGACCAACAUUGACGCUGAGGAGCGAAAGCUAGGGGAGCAAACGGG
Molecule: ribosomal RNA, 253 nt
Filed under: uncultured bacterium
Lineage: Bacteria
Description: partial 16S ribosomal RNA
Rfam family: Bacterial small subunit ribosomal RNA
Source: RNAcentral